UACGGAGGGUGCAAGCGUUAUCCGGAUUCACUGGGUUUAAAGGGUGCGUAGGUGGGCAAGUAAGUCAGUGGUGAAAUCUCCGGGCUUAACCCGGAAACUGCCAUUGAUACUAUUUGUCUUGAAUACUGUGGAGGUCAGCGGAAUAUGUCAUGUAGCGGUGAAAUGCGUAGAUAUCUGGAGGAACACCGGUGGCGAAGGCGGCAUCCUGGACCGGUAUUGACGCUGAGGCGCGAAAGCCAGGGGAGCAAACGGG
RNAcentral lists this ribosomal RNA (253 nucleotides) under uncultured bacterium. RNAcentral describes it as "partial 16S ribosomal RNA". It matches the Rfam family "Bacterial small subunit ribosomal RNA", at positions 524 to 776 of the family's 1533-position model. The record is from RNAcentral.